ACUAUUUUGGCAGAUGAGUGCGGUGGAUUUAGAAUCUAUUUAAGUGGAUAUGUUGUUUACACAGGUAGUA
This 70-nucleotide transfer RNA is filed under the name Incisitermes minor. Its description in RNAcentral is "tRNA-Leu". Lineage: Eukaryota; Metazoa; Arthropoda; Insecta; Blattodea; Kalotermitidae. The record is from RNAcentral.